AGUGGCGAACGGGUGAGUAAUAUAUCGGAACGUGCCCAGUCGUGGGGGAUAACGUAGAGAAAUUUACGCUAAUACCGCAUACGAUCUAAGGAUGAAAGCGGGGGCUUCGCAAGGACCUCGCGCGAUUGGAGCGGCUGAUAUCAGAUUAGGUUGUUGGUGAGGUAAAAGCUCACCAAGCCGACGAUCUGUAGCUGGUUUGAGAGAACGACCAGCCACACUGGGACUGAGACACGGCCCAGACUCCUACGGGAGGCAGCAGUGGGGAAUUUUGGACAAUGGGCGAAAGCCUGAUCCAGCAAUGCCGCGUGUGGGAAGAAGGCCUUCGGGUUGUAAACCACUUUUGUACGGAACGAAAAAGUUUGCUUUAAUAAAGUGGGCUCAUGACGGUACCGUAAGAAUAAGCACCGGCUAACUACGUGCCAGCAGCCGCGGUAAUACGUAGGGUGCGAGCGUUAAUCGGAAUUACUGGGCGUUAAGCGUGCGCAGGCGGUUAUAUAAGACAGUUGUGAAGUCCCCGGGCUCAACCUGGGAAUUGCAUCUGUGACUGUAUAGCUAGAGUACGGUAGAGGGGGAUGGAAUU
Molecule: ribosomal RNA, 580 nt
Filed under: uncultured bacterium
Lineage: Bacteria
Description: bacterial SSU rRNA
Rfam family: Bacterial small subunit ribosomal RNA
Source: RNAcentral